GACGAACGCUGGCGGCGUGCUUAACACAUGCAAGUCGAACGGAAAGGCCCUGCUUUUGUGGGGUGCUCGAGUGGCGAACGGGUGAGUAACACGUGAGUAACCUGCCCUUGACUUUGGGAUAACUUCAGGAAACUGGGGCUAAUACCGGAUAGGAGCUCCUGCUGCAUGGUGGGGGUUGGAAAGUUUCGGCGGUUGGGGAUGUACUCGCGGCUUAUCAGCUUGUUGGUGGGGUAGUGGCUUACCAAGGCUUUGACGGGUAGCCGGCCUGAGAGGGUUACCGGCCACAUUGGGACUGAGAUACGGCCCAGACUCCUACGGGAGGCAGCAGUGGGGAAUAUUGCACAAUGGGCGGAAGCCUGAUGCAGAAACGCCGCGUGCGGGAUGACGGCCUUCGGGUUGUAAACCGAUUUCGCCUGUGACGAAGCGUGAGUGACGGUAAUGGGUAAAGAAGCACCGGCUAACUACGUG
RNAcentral lists this ribosomal RNA (468 nucleotides) under uncultured bacterium. RNAcentral's name for it is "partial 16S ribosomal RNA". It matches the Rfam family "Bacterial small subunit ribosomal RNA", at positions 28 to 507 of the family's 1533-position model. The record is from RNAcentral.